AGCCUAAUAGCUAGCCCGCCCAGACAAUUACAACACUCAGUUAUCCAUAACCCCUAACAUACUUAACAACCUAACUAAAUCAUUCUCCCCCCUAAGUAUAGGCGAUAGAAAAGGAACCAGGCGCAAUAGAAAAAGUACCGCAAGGGAACGCUGAAAGAGAAAUGAAACAACUCAGUAAAGCACAAAAAAGCAGAGCUUUUACCUCGUACCUUUUGCAUCAUGUUUUAGCAAGAGCCCCUCAAGCAAAAAGCAUUUUAGUUUGACCACCCGAAACUAGGUGAGCUACUCCAAGACAGCCUGACAAUAGGGCCAACCCGUCUCUGUGGCAAAAGAGUGGGAAGAGCUUUGAGUAGAGGUGACAGACCUACCGAACCCGGUUAUAGCUGGUUACCUGAGAAUUGAAUAGAAGUUCAGCCUCUCGAAUUCUUUCCUCCCUAAUAGUAGUUCUUAAUUGAGACACAAAGAAAUCUAGAGAGUUACUCAAAGGGGGUACAGCCCCUUUGAAACAAGACACAACUUUAUUAGGAGGAUAAGGAUCAAACUCAAACAAGG
This 552-nucleotide ribosomal RNA is filed under the name Atherinomorus lacunosus (wide-banded hardyhead silverside). Its description in RNAcentral is "partial 16S large subunit ribosomal RNA". It matches the Rfam family "Bacterial large subunit ribosomal RNA", at positions 377 to 1063 of the family's 2925-position model. The record is from RNAcentral. Lineage: Eukaryota; Metazoa; Chordata; Actinopteri; Atheriniformes; Atherinidae.